UCUUCCCUCUUGAACCUGGAGCUCCAGCCCCCACAAGGUGGGGCAGUGGCAUAUAUACAGAACUUCAUUCUCCCAUCCUGGACUGCAUUGUGAAGACUGCAGAAGAGAUUGCAAGAUGAAAGCUUUGCUGUUUGCGUUGUUGUUGGUGGCAUUUGUGUGCAGGGACGCAGUAAAGAGUCUGAAAUGUUACGAGUCUGACCCAUUUAUGUUUGAUAGAAAAAAAAGAUGUUCGCAAACAGAUAGAUUCUGUUAUAUUCUGCAGCCUGUUCUUGGAGGGCCCCAGUCUAAAGGAUGUGCUCCAUUGUGCGUUCUAGAAGACGAGUUGCUGAAGAUUCAGUGUUGCACCUCUGACUUUUGCAAUGAUUAAAAUGUUGUUUGGGGUUUUGCUGUCAUCCAUCAUGGACCAUCCUGGCAGAUUUAAGCUUGUGGCCUUUACGGUUCAUAAUGCACCCCCUCGGCUUCUUUGGACACCUCAUCCUCUCUCCUUUUUCUCCUGGUCUACAAGACUUGUUCUGCUCUCCCUGUAGCUUGGCAACUGAAUAAAUUUGUGCAUUUACAUUCAAGCGUAGUGGAUGUGUUUGGUAUGACAUGUCCAUUUUCCUUUUUUGAAAGUUCAAUUGCGGAAUAGUAGAAGGCUGAAGGGUUUUUUGUAACCCAUCUUACUUAUGCAAAACCCUCUUCCUUCUCCAACGGGUGCAGGUCUGACUUAGAUGCCCAUCUCAGAUAAUUUGACUUUCAAGGUAUUUGGUAGUCUUUGCCAAGAAUGACAACUUACUUAUAAUUUAUCAUCAAUAGAAAUAUAACCUGCCUGCUUCUAAAUCUUCCCAGAGACACAGGAUACGAGACGGGCAGAAAAUAAACUUCAUAGUAAACAAACAAAUCAAUAAAAUUACUUUGAUUACUAAGCAGCCCAACAAUUAUUUUUUCCUUCUUUAAAAUAACUGUAUAUAGUUUGAGCUGCUGUAUAUCCCCAAUACACUAUUCAAAUUCGUUUAAGUUAUAACCAGAAGCCAACAUGGAUUUCUCCAAACAGAUCAUGCCAAACAUUUUCUUAUUUCUUUUUUUGAUAAAGUGACUAAAUUAAUGGAUCAGCGAAAUGCUGUGGAUAUAGUAUACUUGGAUUUCAGUGAAGUGUUUGACAAAAGAGAACACAACCUAUGUCUUGAUAAACUAAAAAGUGUGGGAUAAACAGCACUAUAUAGUGUCUGUGUUUCAGAAGUUUGUUGAUCAUAUAGAUUGUCUGGAUCAGCGUAUUGAGGUUGCUGUAGAAAGUUCUGAAAAAGUGGAAGAUCGAGUUGAUAAAACAGAAAAUAAGGUGGAAAUAAUUCAGGAUGAAAUUACUAUGUUACAAUACAGAAGUAUGGAGUUUGCUUUAA
Molecule: long non-coding RNA, 1376 nt
Organism: Crotalus tigris (Tiger rattlesnake)
Lineage: Eukaryota; Metazoa; Chordata; Lepidosauria; Squamata; Viperidae
Exons: 3
Source: RefSeq, a predicted model, not a curated record